AUGCCUAGGAAAUUGCCCUGAUGUGGGGGAUAACCAUUGGAAACGAUGGCUAAUACCGCAUGAUGCCUACGGGCCAAAGAGGGGGACCUUCGGGCCUCUCGCGUCAGGAUAUGCCUAGGUGGGAUUAGCUAGUUGGUGAGGUAAGGGCUCACCAAGGCGACGAUCCCUAGCUGGUCUGAGAGGAUGAUCAGCCACACUGGAACUGAGACACGGUCCAGACUCCUACGGGAGGCAGCAGUGGGGAAUAUUGCACAAUGGGCGCAAGCCUGAUGCAGCCAUGCCGCGUGUGUGAAGAAGGCCUUCGGGUUGUAAAGCACUUUCAGUCGUGAGGAAGGUGGUGUCGUUAAUAGCUGCUUCAUUUGACGUUAGCGACAGAAGAAGCACCGGCUAACUCCGUGCCAGCAGCCGCGGUAAUACGGAGGGUGCGAGCGUUAAUCGGAAUUACUGGGCGUAAAGCGCAUGCAGGUGGUUUGUUAAGUCAGAUGUGAAAGCCCGGGGCUCAACCUCGGAAUAGCAUUUGAAACUGGCAGACUAGAGUACUGUAGAGGGGGGUAGAAUUUCAGGUGUAGCGGUGAAAUGCGUAGAGAUCUGAAGGAAUACCGGUGGCGAAGGCGGCCCCCUGGACAGAUACUGACACUCAGAUGCGAAAGCGUGGGGAGCAAACAGGAUUAGAUACCCUGGUAGUCCACGCCGUAAACGAUGUCUACUUGGAGGUUGUGGCCUUGAGCCGUGGCUUUCGGAGCUAACGCGUUAAGUAGACCGCCUGGGGAGUACGGUCGCAAGAUUAAAACUCAAAUGAAUUGACGGGGGCCCGCACAAGCGGUGGAGCAUGUGGUUUAAUUCGAUGCAACGCGAAGAACCUUACCUACUCUUGACAUCCAGAGAACUUUCCAGAGAUGGAUUGGUGCCUUCGGGAACUCUGAGACAGGUGCUGCAUGGCUGUCGUCAGCUCGUGUUGUGAAAUGUUGGGUUAAGUCCCGCAACGAGCGCAACCCUUAUCCUU
RNAcentral lists this ribosomal RNA (1003 nucleotides) under Vibrio alginolyticus. RNAcentral's name for it is "bacterial SSU rRNA". It matches the Rfam family "Bacterial small subunit ribosomal RNA", at positions 113 to 1112 of the family's 1533-position model. The record is from RNAcentral. Lineage: Bacteria; Pseudomonadati; Pseudomonadota; Gammaproteobacteria; Vibrionales; Vibrionaceae.